Long non-coding RNA from Synchiropus splendidus (mandarinfish), 1574 nucleotides. RefSeq lists it as uncharacterized. Lineage: Eukaryota; Metazoa; Chordata; Actinopteri; Syngnathiformes; Callionymidae. The transcript is spliced from 3 exons. The record is from RefSeq and is a predicted model, not a curated record.
AUGAAUAUCCUUCCGCUUCUUCAAGUGCUUCUUAUUUAUUCAGCAUUUUAAAUUACAGAAAUCCAUUCUACUCAAAACAAAAACUUUAAAUAAAUAAGCUCAUGUCCAUCGAAAAAAAAAUCUGAAUUAAAAAAUCGAUCACACUUCAGCAAAACUGAAGGCGGCACCAAAUCCCGCCUCUCUAAGGUAUCUCUCCGUGUCUAUUGGCUGCGACGUUGUGAUAACUGUCCUCCCAUUGGCUGACCGUUCUCCCGCCUGAAACUUCUGGAGCAAACUGAGCACGGAGGGUCGCUGCUGAGUGCUGAAUUGGCAGCACAAGCGGAUGAUGGAGUACCUGCAAAUGGACACUGAGUUGGAGCAGUUGGCUGGCCGCUUGAGGUGUUUCCCCCUCUGGAGAUGCUGCAGCAGCUCGGUUACCGUGACGUCAUGAAAUGCUUGUCUGGCCAGGACUUCAGGGGCCUGCCAUUUCCUCAUGUCCAGCUCCUCCACCCCCCGUGGAAGUGGCGUCCGUGUUUUCCUGUGGUAAGCAGGGCUGAGCCCCCACAGCUUUGCUGACAGAUCUGCUCCAAUCAAAACGCUGCGAGCUCCCAGGUUGCCAUGAAUGCAGCCUUGACUGUGCAGGUACUCCUACAGGUAUAUGAAGUCACAGGUAAAUAAUGUGAUUAUCUGUCAGAUGAAAAGACAUUUUCAUGUUUUAAUCUCAGAGUGCCAUCAAAAAAAGAGCCCUGGAAAUUCACUAACAACCAGUAGUGUGUGCAGUCUUUACAGUUGACCAGAAGGUGUCACCUCUGUGCUUCUUCAGGAAAGCUUUGCUCUUCAACUGCAACUUUUGGUAGUUGGCAGUGAGACAUGCACAGAUGUAGAUUAUAAGAUGUAUUCCCUGCAUUCUGUCCUACAGCCAUAAUGUUUGUGAUUAUUUAAAUUUUCUAUGUGUUCUUUUUAUUUCGUUUAAUUAAUGAGUUAAGUAGUGAAACAAACCAGUGCAGAUGCGACUUGUCCAGCCAUAAUGAAGAGUCUUUUCUCUGUGAAGUUACUGAAGUUAUUCUGCAAGAAGAGAGGGCAAACGUCAUUGGUUUUAGUUCAGGUCAGGUCAGGUCAUGAGUCACUGUACCUGUCGACAACUCCAGAGGAAACCCAGCAGAUCUCUGUGUUGUAGCUCCUCCAACACCAACAUUAUGGGGUGGUGCACAGAGACAACACCCAGCACUGCUGGGAUGAAGGGGUGUGGCCCAAGGCCAGACAGGAACGAAGCAAACCCCAGGAAAUAGUGCUUCUCUUGGUCAUUUGCAGAGUCUGUGGAUCAAUGUCAUUCAUCAAUGAUUCUCUGAGUUUUGUUCACGCUUGCUGUCCUCAGUAACACUUGCGAGUCAUGUGUCUUGGAAAACACAUUUUUCUGGCUCUUCUUUAAUCACUUGAAAAGUCAGUGUGCUAUGUGUACAAAGGCCUCAAUUCAAGAUACUGAAAUUGUUUGACUUUGAUGGUUGAAUGCAAGGAAAUAAAACAAUUUUCACCAGUACCUAAUGUUCACUAAUAAACUGCUGUGUAGGAACAUCACCCCAAAUUGCAGUGUGGAA